This 440-nucleotide ribosomal RNA is filed under the name uncultured bacterium. Its description in RNAcentral is "partial 16S ribosomal RNA". It matches the Rfam family "Bacterial small subunit ribosomal RNA", at positions 338 to 795 of the family's 1533-position model. The record is from RNAcentral.
CCUACGGGUGGCAGCAGUGGGGAAUAUUGCACAAUGGGGGAAACCCUGAUGCAGCGACGCCGCGUGAAGGAAGAAGUAUUUCGGUAUGUAAACUUCUAUCAGCGGGGAAGAAAAUGACGGUACCUGCCUAAAAAACCCCGGCUAAAUACGUGCCAGCAGCCGCGGUAAUACGUAGGGGGCAAGCGUUUGCCGGAUUUACUGGGUGUAAAGGGGGCGUAGGCGGUGAUGCAAGUCAGAAGUGAAAGCCCGCAGCUCAACUGCGGGACUGCUUUUGAAACUGUAUGACUAGAUUGUAGGAGAGGUAAGUGGAAUUCCUAGUGUAGCGGUGAAAUGCGUAGAUAUUAGGAGGAACACCAGUGGCGAAGGCGGCUUACUGGACUGUAAAUGACGCUGAGGCUCGAAAGCGUGGGGAGCAAACAGGAUUAGAUACCCCUGUAGUC